AAGCAGGGGAUCGUAAGACCUUGCGCUUUUGGAGCGGCCGAUGUCUGAUUAGCUAGUUGGUGGGGUAAUGGCCUACCAAAGCUUCGAUCAGUAGCUGGUCUGAGAGGACGGCCAGCCACACUGGGACUGAGACACGGCCCAGACUCCUACGGGAGGCAGCAGUGGGGAAUUUUGGACAAUGGGCGCAAGCCUGAUCCAGCCAUGCCGCGUGAGUGAAGAAGGCCUUCGGGUUGUAAAGCUCUUUCAGCCGGGAAGAAAAGGCUGCGACUAAUAAUCGCAGUUCAUGACGGUACCGGAAGAAGAAGCACCGGCUAACUACGUGCCAGCAGCCGCGGUAAUACGUAGGGUGCGAGCGUUAAUCGGAAUUACUGGGCGUAAAGGGUGCGCAGGCGGUUUUGUAAGUCAGAUGUGAAAUCCCCGGGCUUAACCUGGGAACUGCGUUUGAAACUACAAAGCUAGA
This 460-nucleotide ribosomal RNA is filed under the name uncultured beta proteobacterium. RNAcentral's name for it is "bacterial SSU rRNA". It matches the Rfam family "Bacterial small subunit ribosomal RNA", at positions 202 to 645 of the family's 1533-position model. The record is from RNAcentral. Lineage: Bacteria; Pseudomonadati; Pseudomonadota; Betaproteobacteria.